CUAAACCACCUUCACACCACCCUCCUAUUGUUAAGCCACCAGUUCACAAACCACCAAAGCAUUCUCCUACUCCUAAACCACCAGUUCAUAAACCACCAAGAUAUCCUCCUAAACCAUCACCUUGUCCACCCCCAUCAUCAACACCAAAACCACCUCAUCAUCCCAAACCCCCAGCAGUACACCCACCACAUGUUCCAAAACCACAUCCACCUUAUGUUCCAAAACCACCAAUUGUUAAACCUCCAAUAGUACAUCCACCUUACGUACCAAAACCCCCAGUUGUGAAACCACCACCAUAUGUCCCUAAACCACCUGUUGUGAGACCACCCUAUGUUCCUAAACCACCAGUUGUACCUGUAACACCACCUUAUGUUCCUAAGCCACCAAUUGUUUUCCCACCACAUGUUCCUCUACCUCCAGUUGUACCAUCACCACCACCUUAUGUACCAACACCUCCAAUUGUGAAACCACCAAUUGUUUUUCCACCACAUGUUCCUCUACCUCCAGUUGUGCCUGUAACACCACCUUAUGUGCAACCACCACCUAUUGUAACUCCACCAACACCAACACCUCCAAUUGUGACACCACCAACACCACCUAGUGAAACACCUUGUCCUCCACCACCACUUGUACCUUAUCCACCACCACCAGCACAACAAACAUGUUCCAUUGAUGCUUUGAAGUUGGGUGCAUGUGUUGAUGUGCUUGGUGGACUCAUACAUAUUGGUAUAGGUGGAAGUG
RNAcentral lists this long non-coding RNA (741 nucleotides) under Medicago truncatula (barrel medic). RNAcentral describes it as "long non-coding RNA (MTRU_LNC000957)". Lineage: Eukaryota; Viridiplantae; Streptophyta; Magnoliopsida; Fabales; Fabaceae. The record is from RNAcentral.